UAACUUAGUGGCGGACGGGUAAGUAACGCGUGAGUAACCUGCCUUUCAGAGGGGGAUAACGUCCUGAAAAGGACGCUAAUACCGCAUGAUAUAUUUGUGCCGCAUGGUAUGGAUAUCAAAGGAGCAAUCCGCUGGAAGAUGGACUCGCGUCCGAUUAGCUAGUUGGAGGGGUAACGGCCCACCAAGGCGACGAUCGGUAGCCGGACUGAGAGGUUGAACGGCCACAUUGGGACUGAGACACGGCCCAGACUCCUACGGGAGGCAGCAGUGGGGGAUAUUGCGCAAUGGGGGAAACCCUGACGCAGCAACGCCGCGUGAAGGAAGAAGGUUUUCGGAUUGUAAACUUCUUUUCUAAGGGACGAAGAAGUGACGGUACCUUAGGAAUAAGCUCCGGCUAACUACGUGCCAGCAGCCGCGGUAAUACGUAGGGAGCAAGCGUUGUCCGGAUUUACUGGGUGUAAAGGGUGCGUAGGCGGCAAUGCAAGUCAGAUGUGAAAUGCACGGGCUCAACCCGUGAGCUGCAUUUGAAACUGUGUUGCUUGAGUGAGGUAGAGGCAGGCGGAAUUCCCGGUGUAGCGGUGAAAUGCGUAGAGAUCGGGAGGAACACC
This 608-nucleotide ribosomal RNA is filed under the name uncultured Lachnospiraceae bacterium. RNAcentral's name for it is "bacterial SSU rRNA". It matches the Rfam family "Bacterial small subunit ribosomal RNA", at positions 88 to 710 of the family's 1533-position model. Lineage: Bacteria; Bacillati; Bacillota; Clostridia; Lachnospirales; Lachnospiraceae. The record is from RNAcentral.